Mauremys reevesii (Reeves's turtle) is the source of this 373-nucleotide long non-coding RNA. RefSeq lists it as uncharacterized. The transcript is spliced from 3 exons. NCBI's taxonomy places the organism in Eukaryota, Metazoa, Chordata, Testudines, Geoemydidae. The record is from RefSeq and is a predicted model, not a curated record.
CUCCAUGUCAUGUGCUGCUUUUGAAAGAUUCAGCUCCUUAUUGGAGUGGGUGAUUGUGUGUGAGACUGGCCUGUGUCAUGCAGUGCACUAUUUUGAUGACUUCUUAUUUUCAGGAAGUUUGGGGACAGACAACUGGCAACAGAUUCUGGGAAUUCACUCUUUUCGCCAGCAGGAAUCCAAGCUUAACUGUGCAUGGGCCAUACCAUAAACCAGACUGCAAGGUGAAGAAGGCAAAGCAAGUCAUGAACUGUUGGGUGUUGCACCUCUGAAUAAAGGUUGCAGAACAUUAAGAACAUAAGAAUGGCCACACUGGGUCAGAUCAGUGACCCAUCUAUCCCAGUAUCCUGUUUUCCAAGAGUGGCCAAUGCAAACA